RNAcentral lists this ribosomal RNA (252 nucleotides) under uncultured bacterium. Its description in RNAcentral is "partial 16S ribosomal RNA". It matches the Rfam family "Bacterial small subunit ribosomal RNA", at positions 524 to 776 of the family's 1533-position model. The record is from RNAcentral.
UACGUAGGUGGCGAGCGUUAUCCGGAUUUAUUGGGCGUAAAGCGUGCGCAGGCGGCUUAUUAAGUCUAAGAUUAAAGCCCGGGGCUUAACUCCGGUUCGUCUUAGAAACUGGUAGGCUUGAGUAUGGUAGAGGCAAAUGGAAUUCCUAGUGUAGCGGUGGAAUGCGUAGAUAUUAGGAGGAACACCAGUGGCGAAGGCGGUUUGCUGGGCCAUCACUGACGCUCAUGCACGAAAGCGUGGGGAGCAAAUAGG